GACGAACGCUGGCGGCGUGCUUAACACAUGCAAGUCGAACGGAAAGGCCCUGCUUUUGUGGGGUGCUCGAGUGGCGAACGGGUGAGUAACACGUGAGUAACCUGCCCUUUACUUUGGGAUAACUUCAGGCAACUGGGUCUAAUACCGGAUAGGAGCUCCUGCUGCAUGGUGGGGGUUGGAAAGUUUCGGCGGUUGGGGAUGGACUCGCGGCUUAUCAGCUUGUUGGUGGGGUAGUGGCUUACCAAGGCUUUGACGGGUAGCCGGCCUGAGAGGGUGACCGGCCCCAUUGGGCCUGAGCUACGACACAGACUACUACGGGAGGCAGCGGUGGAGAAUAGUGUACAGUGGGCGGAAGGCUGGUGCAACAACGCCGCGUGCGGGAUGAAGGCCAUGGGGUUGGAAACCGCAUUCGCCUGUGACGAAGCGUGAGUGACGGUAAUGGGUGAAGAAGCACCGGCUAACUACGUG
Molecule: ribosomal RNA, 468 nt
Filed under: uncultured bacterium
Lineage: Bacteria
Description: partial 16S ribosomal RNA
Rfam family: Bacterial small subunit ribosomal RNA
Source: RNAcentral